GAUUGUUUCCAUUGAUGAUGAUGAUGGAGAUGUGUUGCUGUUCUUCAUUGAUUUCAACUCUUCCUCCAUUGCUGCUCUCUGUUCCAGAACUUUCAAGGAAGUUGCCUUCCUGUAUACUUUGCACAAAACUACAUUCUGCAUAUUCAAACAAAAAAAAGGAAAUCUUUUUCAAACUUCUAAAUUUGAAUUUUUUAAAAU
Molecule: long non-coding RNA, 198 nt
Organism: Hibiscus syriacus
Lineage: Eukaryota; Viridiplantae; Streptophyta; Magnoliopsida; Malvales; Malvaceae
Exons: 5
Source: RefSeq, a predicted model, not a curated record